This 1488-nucleotide ribosomal RNA is filed under the name Diphylleia rotans. RNAcentral's name for it is "bacterial SSU rRNA". It matches the Rfam family "Bacterial small subunit ribosomal RNA". The record is from RNAcentral. Lineage: Eukaryota; Collodictyonidae.
AAAUCUAAGAGUUUUAUCCUGGCUCCGAACGAACGUUAUCAAGAUGCCUAACACAUGCAAAUUAAACCGAGUGCAUAACUCAGUAGUGAACGGGUGAGUAAUGUUAAAGUACAAAAUCUAUAGGAAUUACUGAAAUAGUAUGAGAAGGGGUUCUUAAUCUCGCUUAUAGAUAGUCUUUAAUCGUAUUAGGUAGUUGGUAGUUUAAAAGACUACCAAGCCGAUGAUGCGUAGCAGGUCUAAGUGGAUCAUCUGCCACAUUGGGACUGAAACAAGGCCCAAAUGGGUAUAAUCCCAGCAGCAGUGGGGAAUUUUGGACAAUGGGGGAAACCCUGAUCCAGCAAUCUUGAGUGAGAGAUGAAGGAAUGUUCUGUAAAUCUCUUUUAGCAAGUAAGAAAUAGACAUAACUUGCAGAAAAAGCUCCGGCCAAUCUCGUGCCAGCAGCCGCGGUAAUACGAGAGGAGCGAACGUUGUUCAAAAUAACUGGGCGUAAAGGGUGAGUCGGAUGUAAUAAAAGUUGAAAGUAAAAUCGAUGGAUUUCCUUCAUCAGCUCUUUCAAAACUAUAUUACUAGAGUUUAAUAGAGGAAGGGAGAAAAUCUGGUGUAAUGAUAAAAUAUGUAAAUAUCAGAUAGAACACCAAAGGGGAAGCCACCCUUCUAGGUAAAAACUGACUCUUUAUCACGAAGGCAUAGGGAGCAAACAGGAUUAGAGACCCUGGUAGUCUAUGCUGUAAACUAUGAAGACUAUUGGUUAGAGGGGGCCUAAUCCCCCAUUUAGUCAAUUAGCUAACGCGUUAAGUCUUCCGCCUGGGAAGUACGGCCGCAAGGUUGAAACUCAAAGGAAUUGACGGGGAUCUACACAAGCGGUGGAGCAUGUUGUUUAAUCUGAUACUACGCAAAGAACCUUACCAAUCCUUGAAAUUAAAAAGCAGGUGCUGCAUGGCUGUCGUCAGCUCGUGGCGUGAGUUGUUCGGUUAAGUCCAUAAACGAGCGCAACCCUUAUCCAAUAAUGGGCGUAAAAGUCCAAUUUGGAAACUGCCUGGUCCAUCGAUCAGGAGGAAGGAGAGGAUGAAGUCAAGUCGUCAUGGCCCUUAUGGAUUGGGCUACUAACGUGCUACAAUGGUGAUUACAAUGGGUAGCAAUGAUGUGAGUCGGAGCAAAUCUCAAAAAAGUCAUCUCAGUCCGGAUUGAUCUCUGCAACUCGAGACCAUGAAGUCGGAAUCGCUAGUAAUCGCGAAUCAGCACGUCGCGGUGAAUCAGUUCUUAGGUCUUGUACAUACCGCCCGUCACGCUAUAGGAAUUGGUGAUUAUUGAAGUUAUUAUUAUUAGAUAGUCAUUAGUGACCAGAGUGAAGUCGUAACAAGGUAGCCGUUGGGGAACCAGUGGCUGGAAUAACUCCAUAAGUUAAAAUAUCACGGAAUCACCCGUGAACUUAAAUUAAAGCGUUAAUAAAAUAUGCCUUUGUUGGAGAUGAACCAACUUGACUCCUUU